UACGUAGGGGGCAAGCGUUGUCCGGAUUUACUGGGCGUAAAGAGCGCGCAGGCGGUCGGUCAAGUCGCGUGUGAAAGCCCCCGGCUCAACUGGGGAGGGUCACGCGAUACUGAUCGACUCGAAGGCAGGAGAGGGUAGUGGAAUUCCCGGUGUAGUGGUGAAAUGCGUAGAUAUCGGGAGGAACACCAGUGGCGAAGGCGACUACCUGGCCUGUUCUUGACGCUGAGGCGCGAAAGCUAGGGGAGCAAACGGG
Molecule: ribosomal RNA, 253 nt
Filed under: uncultured bacterium
Lineage: Bacteria
Description: partial 16S ribosomal RNA
Rfam family: Bacterial small subunit ribosomal RNA
Source: RNAcentral